RNAcentral lists this ribosomal RNA (406 nucleotides) under uncultured bacterium. RNAcentral describes it as "partial 16S ribosomal RNA". It matches the Rfam family "Bacterial small subunit ribosomal RNA", at positions 30 to 526 of the family's 1533-position model. The record is from RNAcentral.
AUUGAACGCUGGCGGCAAGCCUAACACAUGCAAGUCGAACGAGUGGCGGACGGGUGAGUAAUGUCUGGGAAACUGCCUGAUGGAGGGGGAUAACUACUGGAAACGGUAGCUAAUACCGCAUACCAUCGGAUGUGCCCAGAUGGGAUUAGAUAGUAGGUGGGGUAAAGGCGCCCCUAGGCUACGAUCCCUAGCUGGUCUGAGAGGAUGAAGAGCCACACUGGAACUGAGACACGGUACAGACUCCGACGGGAGGCAGCAGUGGGGAAUAUUGCACAAUGGUCGCAAGCCUGAUGCAGCCAUGCCGCGUGUAUGAAGAAGUCCUUCGGGUUGUAAAGUACUUUCAGAGGGGAGGCGUGACCCGCAGAAGAAGCACCGGCUAACUCCGUGCCAGCCGCCGCGGUAAUUC